GGUGAGGGUGCAGGACACGUUUGCAGAUACUGUGUGUGCAGUGAGAGAGUGUGCAGAAAACAGCACUGGAGCAUCGCCGAAGAGGAAGCAAACAGCACUAUGAGGGAACCUGGCCUAGUCUGCCCUUCAGAUCAUCUCCAACAAUGGCCUUGAGCACAUAAGCUCCAGCUCAGAUAGAACUUGAGAGUUUUGAGGAUCAAUGGAGGAUGCAUCUCCACAAUUUAUAAGGAGCCAGGAGCCUGCUAGGAAGACCUCACGCUCAGACAAGAGUGAGCAGGGACACAGGCUUGAAAGAGGCAAAGAAAGGGAAAUGAUUUGAAAUAUUCCUUGGACUUGGUCACCAGAAGAUUUUCUCUUCUGCUCAGAGCACAUUCCUGAGUUGACUGCAAGUUGAUCAGCAAAAGGCGAGAAUGCAGGGCAGGACCAAGAGGUGCUUAGCAUCGGCAGAGUACCCUGAGAGUGGAUGCUGGUGGUCCUUCUGCAACUGUUGCGAAUAACCCCAGAGCCCAGGAUGCAGCCUCUCACUGCCCUUCCUGACAGGGGCCAUCUGUAAGCAUCUUUCCAAUGGAAGAAGCAGGUCAUGAUUUGAGAAGAGACAGAUCUUUUCUUUGCUUUUGUCAUCUGGGUGACUAUAAGCCUUACAGACAUCUCCAUGGCACCCCAAGACCUGAACAUGAAGCAAGCAGAUUCUGUUUUGCAGGUGAAGGAUCUGGGGCAGAAGAGGGAGAACAUUCUCCCUGGUUCCUUGCAGCAGGAGGAAAGAAAAACUUUUCCAAGUGCCUUUUGUGUGCCAUGAACUGUGCUAUGAAUUUCAUGCACCAUACUAUUAAUAGUUCGCAACUGUGGUACACUUCCUAUAUGUCAGGAACACUUUCUGUAUAUCCAUAUGUCUAUGGGACACUUUGUAUGUGUCACUUUUAUAUACAUCAUCUCAGUUAAUCCAUUCAACAACCUUAUUUGAUAAGUACCAUUAUCGCCUCCACAAUUGAAGCUUAUAACAUUUGAGUGACUUGCUGAAGGUCACACAGCUACCACAUGACAGAGAGGGAUUUCAAAUCCAGGGAUGCCAGCCCCAAAGUCCCAAUUCUUUGCAUUACACCACCUCACCUACUGUGCUUGACCCCCUAGUCCAGUGUUUCUACUUCCUGAACCCCAUCUAACACAAGAACAGAGGCUGGUAUUUUAAAGGAAUUAGUAUUUUUCACUACUCUUUUCCCUAGAAACAACCCUGUAUUAUCAACUAAUAUUCCACAUUUUCUGAGCUUCAACUUCAUCCCAGGCACUGUGCUAGAUGCCGCCACAUUAUGUUACAUGAGAGAUGAUACAGAAUUUUGAGAACAGCCAAUACAUGACCCCACACUUAGCAGACAUGCCUAAUUAAUCAGGACACUCGUUCUGGGUGAGUCUAAAUGCAGCCUCAGAGUCUUUCCCAACACAGAGGUGCAAGAAACUUCUGAAAUCAACCAGCAUCAGCACACACUAGAUGAAGCCUAUUGGCCCUUCCUGCUGUAGAAUUCCACGGGCAGAAAUGACAGUGACAUGGCCACAAGGAAUAAUGGGAUGGAAUCUUUUGAGCAGAAGUUCUGAGAUCAAAGCCUUGUUCUACUCAAAGCCUUGUUCACUAGCUGGGCACCAGCAGGAUGGUUGGAUGCAGAAUUGUUGGUGACAGUGAGAAGCAAGAGACCAUAAGACGAAAAGCCUGGAGUAAGGGUACUGGCAAGAGACAAGAAAAUGAGAGAACACAGAAUAUAGAUUUGUGCCUGGGAAAUAGCCGAAGAUUUUCUACAAAGGGGUUGUGUUGGGGGUGGUGUGACUUCAAGGUCUUAAUGUCCUGUGUUAUACCACAGGGUUUAUUAUAGGUAAUGGUGGUGGCUUCGUGAGUAAGUGAUGGGGCUAAGCCAUGACCCUAGAGCUACCCAAGCAGGACAGCAUGGCAGAAACAGGCAGGCUGGGGAGCUCCUGGUGUGAUCACACACUAUCUGUGUGAUCUUGGGCAAGUCCUUUAACCUCUCUGAGGAUCAGUUCCAUCCCCUGAGAAAUGAAGACAACGAUCUGCUUCAUGGUAAAGAUUAAACAAGAUAGCUCCAGACACAUAGUGGGUAAUUUUCCAUCAUGGUACAAGGAGGAGCUGACAGUAGGCUCUGCAUGUAUCUUUUGCGCUGAGAUCACACAACACGGCAGCUGGCACAAAGUAGGUGCUCAUCAGCAUUUAUGGGUUAGUUGUUUGGUUGAUUGGGUACCACUUAGGAAGUCACUGAAAGGCUUUAAGCAGAGGGAGAACAUGAUGGGAUUUAAAAUUUUGAGGACAUCACUCUCUCUGCUUUGGGGUGAAGAGGGUAGGCGGACAGGCAUGGGAACAGGAAGCCCACUUUGUUGCCCUCCUCCAGGACAGAGACCACGUGGACAGGAGGUCCGGACUCAGUGGAAGAACAGGGUCCUGAGCAAGUGGGAGGGCUGGAGACUGGGAUGUUCAGAACUAAGAUUUCUGAUGAGGUGCUUUUUCUGGUGGUGACAAGAUGCAGGGUGUAAGCAAGGCGGGGGUGGCUAAGAUGCCAUGUGAUAAAAGGCUGGUGAUGAUUGGAAGCUGGAGAAAUUGAGAAGCCGGAAUGUGGAUGUGUCACUCUUCAUGGACAGUGUCUUAUUUCCUUCUCGAAGCAAAGCUGCUGCGUUGGCACGAUUGCCCUCCUUUGACAGAUGAUGAAGGAGAGACUUAAAACAUUCACAAGCAUAUAUUACACUGGGGGGAUGUGGGAAUUCAGGCACUUGUUUAUAGACUCAAUAAGUGCGAAGGAUUUAUGGUUUGUGAAAAACUUGCACUGUGGAAAAGAUAAUAAAUUGAAGGCAUUAUUGUGUGGGACUGUGCUGAUUUUUGUUGAUAACACUCCACUAAGAACACUAUAUGUUUUCUGGAGAGCUGUGGAAGCUGCCUUCUUGCUUAACUGCAA
This is a non-coding RNA of Kogia breviceps (pygmy sperm whale), 2945 nucleotides long. Lineage: Eukaryota; Metazoa; Chordata; Mammalia; Artiodactyla; Physeteridae. The record is from RefSeq and is a predicted model, not a curated record.